Non-coding RNA from Pelobates cultripes (western spadefoot toad), 143 nucleotides. Lineage: Eukaryota; Metazoa; Chordata; Amphibia; Anura; Pelobatidae. The record is from the annotation of a GenBank genome assembly.
AAUAUAUAAAAAAGUGUAUACACUGCUGGGCACUAUGGGGGUGGAACCCAAAACAGACAAGGAUAUAUAUAAAAAAAUAUAUCCUGUUGUUUUGGGUUCCACCCCCAUAGUGCCCAGCAGUGUAUACACUUUUUUAUAUAUUU